GACUAACGCUGGCGGCGUGCCUAACACAUGCAAGUCGAACGAGGUAGCAAUACCUAGUGGCAGACGGGUGAGUAACGCGUAGAUAAUGUGCCCUCUUGCGGGGGAUACCGUUUCGAAAGGAACGUUAAUACCGCAUAAUACGACCUGGAGGCAUCUCCAGGGCGUCAAACUUCCGGGGCGGGAGGAGCAGUCUGCGUUCUAUCAGUUAGUUGGUGGGGUAAUGGCCUACCAAGACUACGACGGAUAACUGGUCUGAGAGGAUGAUCAGUCACACUGGAACUGAGACACGGUCCAGACUCCUACGGGAGGCAGCAGUGAGGAAUAUUGCGCAAUGGGCGAAAGCCUGACGCAGCGACGCCGCGUGGAGGAUGACGGCCUUCGGGUUGUAAACUCCUGUCAGUGGGGAAGAGAAUGGACGGUACCCACUGAGGAAGCUUCGGCUAACUACGUG
This 451-nucleotide ribosomal RNA is filed under the name uncultured organism. RNAcentral describes it as "bacterial SSU rRNA". It matches the Rfam family "Bacterial small subunit ribosomal RNA", at positions 28 to 507 of the family's 1533-position model. The record is from RNAcentral.